GUUACCCCCGGGGGGGGCUUGUUACCCCUGGAGGGGGUCGUUACCCCCAGGGGGGGGUCGUUACCAGGUGUCGCUGGAGGCAGCGGAGGCUGUGGCCGUAUUUGAGGCAGAACUCGCAGAGGUAGAGGACGGGCAGCGCCGUCAGCUCCUGCGGGUAGGGCGAGAAGUACCAGGGCUUGAGGCGAUGGCGGCCCAGCUCGAUGCACUCGAUGUUCUUCAUCCGCGUCACGAUGUCGUCGUGGCUGCGGUCCGACACCAGGCUGCCCGUCAUGCGCGGCGCCGACGGCGCGCCGUCCGAGGAGUCCUGCGAGUCCUGGGGUGGGGGGGAAAAGGAGGCACCCAGGGGUGAGGCCCGCACCCAGGGGUGAGGCCCGCACCCAGUCCCAGAAGCCCCUGUCUUUAUUUUCCUGUGUUUUAGGCGUUUUUGCCUUGUUUUUGCCUUGUUUUUGCCUCCGUUUCCCCAUGUCAAGGCCUUUUUGCGUUACUUUUGCCUCAGUUUCCCCAUGCCGAGGCUUUUUUGCAUUGCUUUUGCCUCAGUUUCCCCAUUUUGAGGCCUUCUCCCCUCAAUUUUGCAUUGCUUUUGCCUCGGUUUCCCCAUUUUGAGGCCUUCUCCCCUUAUUUUUGCAUUGCUUUUGCCUCGGUUUCCCCAUUUUGAGGCCUUUUCCCCUCAUUUUUGCGUUGCUUUUGCCUCGGUUUCCCCAUUUUGAGGCCUUUUCCCCUCAUUUUUGUGUUGCUUUUGCCUCGGUUUCCCCAUUUCAAGGCUUUCUCCCUCAAUUUUCCCUUGUUUUUGCCUCAGUUUCCCCAUUUCAAAGCCUCAUUCCCUCAUUUUCGCGUUGCUUCUGCCUCGUUUUCUCCAUUUUGAGGCUUUUUUCCCUCAUUUUUUCCCUGCUUUGGUCUCAGUUUCCCUAUUUUAAGGCAUUUUCUCCUGUUUUUGCCUCAGUUUCCCCAUUUCAAGGUUUAUUCCCCAUGUUUUCUUCCUGCUUUUGCCUCAGUUUCCCCAUUUUGAGGCCUUUUCCCCUAAUUUUUGCGUUGCUUCUGCCUCAGUUUCCCAAUUUCAAAGCUUUUUUCCCCAUGUUUUCUUCCUGCUUUUGCUUCAGCUUCUCCAUUUCAAGGCUUUCUCCCUCAUUUUUGCCUUGUUUUUGCCUCAGUUUCCCCAUUUCAAGGCAUUUUCCGCCUGCCUUUGCCCCAGUUUCCCCAUUUUGAGGCUUCUUUUCCCCUCAUUAUUGCCUCGUUU
Molecule: long non-coding RNA, 1234 nt
Filed under: Anas platyrhynchos platyrhynchos (common mallard)
Lineage: Eukaryota; Metazoa; Chordata; Aves; Anseriformes; Anatidae
Description: lncRNA (ENSAPLG00000017957.1)
Source: RNAcentral